RNAcentral lists this long non-coding RNA (1427 nucleotides) under Equus asinus (donkey). Its description in RNAcentral is "lncRNA (ENSEASG00005038815.1)". Lineage: Eukaryota; Metazoa; Chordata; Mammalia; Perissodactyla; Equidae. The record is from RNAcentral.
CAGAAAUGUUUUCAGCGUUUGACAGCAGUUUAUAAAUAACUCCGGCUACCCUUACAGGAGAAACUGAAACACAGCUGCUGCAUUGUGAAUCCACGCCGGGAAAGAAACGGUGUCCAGUGAAUAAUGAGAAGGCCCCAGAAUGGCUCCUCUAACAAUCCUGCUUCUUCCUUUACUGGAAUCCUUCCUUGUGGGCUCAACAGCGACUCAUGCAUCGAGGGGAGUGGGACUUGGGACUCAAAGGCACAACAGGGCAGAAAGGAGGCCACAACUCACUGCUGGGAACUGGACCAGACGAGUCAACAAUGGCAAAGAAGUCCUGGAAUAUGAGCUUCAAAAUCUCAGUCAAAACUCACCCCUAAGAGAAUCUACCUGAUGAAUCUUAUUCGAUCGUGUCAGCUCUUUAACUACUGGUCAUCCUUUCAGCAUGUACGCAUUUAGAUUUGUUAGUGCCAUUGUCCUGUAACAUCUACCAACUCAGAGUACAUUCAUGGUCAGUAGACUGUGGCUGUUCAGUGGGUUCUUCUCCCCCUGGCGAGUGUGCAAGGCCAGAAUUCACUGUACUACAGUGCAAGGACCUGCUUUUCCAAACGCCCAACCCCAUUCCAGCCCCUCCACAUUCUCGCCCUCUAGGCUUUCCAUGCUGCUGCCUCUGGGAUUUGGGUCCUCAAUGCUUAAUAUGGCCUCUCUCUACUUUUGAGUUUGUUUUUCCUUCUAGCCACAUUUUCCCCUUUCCUCUUUGUUGUGAAGCAUCCACAGACAAUCUCAGGGUAACAAUGCCUUUCCAUGCUUGGCCUCACCCUCAAGAUUUACCAACCACAGCCUGCACUUGGGACAGCCACAUUCCAGUGAGGUCCAGAUAUGGUUAAGAAGAGCUGGGGCUGGCCUGGUGGCGCAGCGGUUAAGUUCACACAUUUCGCUUUGGUGGCCAGGGGUUUGCCGGUUUGGAUCCCGGGUAUGGCCCUACGCACCACCAGUCAAGUCCAUGCUGUGGCAGGUAUCCCCACAUAUAAAGUAGAGGAAGAUGGGCACACAGGUUAGCUCAGGGCCAGUCUUCUUCAGCAAAAAAAGGAUGAUUGGCGGCAGAUGUUAGCUCAGGGCUAAUCUCCCUGAAAAAAAAGAAGAGCUGGUAGUGAGUAGCAUAUUUGUAAGGACAUUUUCUAUUCAACAUGGUUGAAGUAAAGAGAGUUUGGAUAUGUAAAGGGAGAGUGGGAGGGUGGGUACACUCACCUGUUCAUGUUAUGCAACUGUUCCAAAAAAAAAUUCAUUCCUCAAGUGUUCCAAAGGAAUAUAAUCUGGUGGUAUUGAUAUGUAGCUAUAUUAUAAUGUUCUAUGUUCAUUGGUUUGUGUAUUCCAUUUACCUAUUACACUCUUAGCUUCAUCAGGGCAGAGACUGAAUUUUCAUUUCUCUUAUUUCCUUUGCUGAAUAG